RNAcentral lists this long non-coding RNA (913 nucleotides) under Pongo abelii (Sumatran orangutan). RNAcentral describes it as "lincRNA". The record is from RNAcentral. Lineage: Eukaryota; Metazoa; Chordata; Mammalia; Primates; Hominidae.
AGUUCAUUAUGUUGGACAGGGCGCGUCUGCGCCUCCGGCCGCCGCGGCUCCCGGGGCCUCCGCCUGCAGCCGGCGGCGGAACGGGGGCAGGCGGCUGAGACGGGCGAGCUAUUUGCAUUCCCGGCAGUCAUUUUUAUAUGCGGAGGUAAUGAAGUUGUCAGCGGCGCCCCGAGUGUGGCAGAGCCUGAUAUUCAAAUCGCCCUGCCCGCUCCGCCUGCUCCCGCCCGCCUGUCCCGGGAGCCCCAGGCUGCGCGCGCCCGCACCGCAUCCCCGCUUUGCCCCGCGACCGCGCGCGCCUCCUCGUCCUCCCCCGCGCCUUUGUCUCCGUCUCCUUCUCGUUUCCUUCUCCUUUCCCUCCUCUUUUGUGUCGGGCCAGACUCAGCCCCAGAAACCAGCCACCCUGCCGCGUCCGACUGCCAGGGAUCCCGCACGCCGCGAGUACCAGAGAUGUCUCCAAGAGCACCAGCAACCCCAGCUAUCUGGAUCUGAAGUGGAUAUGCUCAGCGGCAUCCUGGCCCACCCCACCCCCCACCCCAGAGAAGAUGCUGCUGCUCUCAGAAGAUGCCAGAGCUAGCCACCACCCACACUGCAAGUCUGGAAGCUCUGCAAGGACCCAGCAAGGCAGCCUGCUCAGUGAAGGCUUUGUCUCCUGUGGCAGGAAGCGCAACAUUAAGAACAAGAACCCUGGGCUGGACUACCCUUGAGAUUUAAUGACCAGAGCUGAGACCCCCAAGACCACAAUGACUAUGGAGGGCUGUCAUCACCUUGCCUGACCCUCUAAUGCCUCUCAGUUCAAGGAGGCCACUGAGUGAAACCGAAGGCUGGUUUUCCUUGGAAGCCAGCGGCCCAUCCACCUGCUCCACUUCCCUGCCUCUUGCAGCCUCCGCUCAAACACUGUCGUGGCUUGGCAGCA